RNAcentral lists this non-coding RNA (30 nucleotides) under Mus musculus (house mouse). Lineage: Eukaryota; Metazoa; Chordata; Mammalia; Rodentia; Muridae. The record is from RNAcentral.
UUGUAAUACAGGAUAACUCCAGGUCUACAU